UGGGGAAUUUUGGACAAUGGGCGAAAGCCUGAUCCAGCAAUGCCGCGUGUGUGAAGAAGGCCUUCGGGUUGUAAAGCACUUUUGUCCGGAAAGAAAUCCUUGGCUCUAAUACAGUCGGGGGAUGACGGUACCGGAAGAAUAAGCACCGGCUAACUACGUGCCAGCAGCCGCGGUAAUACGUAGGGUGCAAGCGUUAAUCGGAAUUACUGGGCGUAAAGCGUGCGCAGGCGGUUUGCUAAGACCGAUGUGAAAUCCCCGGGCUCAACCUGGGAACUGCAUUGGUGACUGGCAGGCUAGAGUAUGGCAGAGGGGGGUAGAAUUCCACGUGUAGCAGUGAAAUGCGUAGAGAUGUGGAGGAAUACCGAUGGCGAAGGCAGCCCCCUGGGCCAAGUACUGACGCUCAUGCACGAAAGCGUGGGGGAGCAAACAGGA
Molecule: ribosomal RNA, 432 nt
Filed under: uncultured bacterium
Lineage: Bacteria
Description: partial 16S ribosomal RNA
Rfam family: Bacterial small subunit ribosomal RNA
Source: RNAcentral